GUGCUCACUUUGGCAGCACAUAUAAUAUUGGAACAAUACAGAGAAGAUUAGCAUAACCCCUGCGCAAGGAUGACACACAAACUUCUGAAGCAUUCCACAUAUAC
Small nuclear RNA from Sorex araneus (European shrew), 104 nucleotides. The record is from Ensembl. Lineage: Eukaryota; Metazoa; Chordata; Mammalia; Eulipotyphla; Soricidae.